GACGAACGCUGGCGGCGUGCUUAACACAUGCAAGUCGAACGGAAAGGCCUCUUUCGGGGGGUACUCGAGUGGCGAACGGGUGAGUAACACGUGAGUGAUCUGCCCUUCACUUCGGGAUAACUUCAGGAAACUGGGGCUAAUACCGGAUAGGAGCUCCUUCUGCUUGGGGGGGGUUGGAAAGUUUUGGGGGUGGGGGGUGGGCUCGCGGCUUAUCAGCUUGUUGGUGGGGUAAUGGCUUACCCAGGCAUUGGCGGGGAGCCGGCCGGGGAGGGUGACCGGCCACAUUGGGACUGAGAUACGGCCCAGACUCCGACGGGAGGCAGCAGUGGGGAAGAGUGCACAAUGGGUGGAAGCCUGAUGCAGCAACGCCGUGUGCGGGAUGACGGCCUUCGGGUUGUAAACCGCUUUCGCUCAUGACGAAGCUUUGUGUGACGGUAGCGGGUAAAGAAGCACCGGCUAACUACGUG
RNAcentral lists this ribosomal RNA (467 nucleotides) under uncultured bacterium. Its description in RNAcentral is "partial 16S ribosomal RNA". It matches the Rfam family "Bacterial small subunit ribosomal RNA", at positions 28 to 507 of the family's 1533-position model. The record is from RNAcentral.